This is a long non-coding RNA of Triticum dicoccoides, 372 nucleotides long. RefSeq lists it as uncharacterized. The record is from RefSeq and is a predicted model, not a curated record. The transcript has 4 exons. NCBI's taxonomy places the organism in Eukaryota, Viridiplantae, Streptophyta, Magnoliopsida, Poales, Poaceae.
ACAGACUGUUGGCCAAAAAAGAUUUGGGGGGAAAUAGCUCUAGAGAAGGAUUGAGAUGAAAAUGAUAAUUUAUACAGGUUGUUCUUUCUUUAGUACCAAUGAAUAACUUGGUUACACGAUAUACUUGAAGACUGUAGUAGGAACAAAAUGCUUGGCAGACCAAACUAAUUAGCUUUGAAGUUUCCUGGAGACAGAGUACUCUUGCAUCAUUAUGUGCAACCCACAGGGAUCUCGCUCGGUGAGACAUGCACACCUAUGCCACAUCUUUACAUCUCAGUUUUCACAUCCUUCCCAGGUUUCACAAAAACAUAAACAUAUGCUUGGAUGGGUGUCCUUGCCUGCGACCUUGCUGUCUCCAACCUAUCCACAGGU